This 423-nucleotide ribosomal RNA is filed under the name uncultured bacterium. RNAcentral's name for it is "bacterial SSU rRNA". It matches the Rfam family "Bacterial small subunit ribosomal RNA", at positions 356 to 772 of the family's 1533-position model. The record is from RNAcentral.
CGAGAAUUUUUCUCAAUGGGCGCAAGCCUGAAGGAGCGACGCCGCGUGGGGGAUGAAGGGUUUCGAUCCGUAAACCCCUGUCAUUUGUGAACAAUGUCUAUUAUUUAAAAGAUGAUGGAUUGAUAGUAGUGAAAGAGGAAGGGACGGCUAACUCUGUGCCAGCAGCCGCGGUAAUACAGAGGUCCCGAGCGUUGUUCGGAUUCACUGGGCGUAAAGGGUGCGUAGGUGGCGAUGUAAGUUUGAUGUGAAAUCUCCGGGCUUAACCCGGAAAUGGCAUUGAAUACUACAUUGCUGGAGGAUUGGAGGGGGGACUGGAAUUCUCGGUGUAGCAGUGAAAUGCGUAGAUAUCGAGAGGAACACCAGUGGCGAAGGCGAGUCCCUGGACAAUACCUGACACUGAGGCACGAAAGCUAGGGGAGCAAA